RNAcentral lists this ribosomal RNA (253 nucleotides) under uncultured bacterium. RNAcentral describes it as "partial 16S ribosomal RNA". It matches the Rfam family "Bacterial small subunit ribosomal RNA", at positions 524 to 776 of the family's 1533-position model. The record is from RNAcentral.
UACGAAGGGGGCUAGCGUUGCUCGGAAUUACUGGGCGUAAAGGGAGCGUAGGCGGACAUUUAAGUCAGGGGUGAAAUCCCGCAGCUCAACUGCGGAACUGCCUUUGAUACUGGGUAUCUUGAGUAUGGAAGAGGUGAGUGGAAUUCCGAGUGUAGAGGUGAAAUUCGUAGAUAUUCGGAGGAACACCAGUGGCGAAGGCGGCUCACUGGUCCAUUACUGACGCUGAGGUGCGAAAGCGUGGGGAGCAAACAGG